This 342-nucleotide ribosomal RNA is filed under the name Heliobacterium chlorum. RNAcentral's name for it is "bacterial SSU rRNA". It matches the Rfam family "Bacterial small subunit ribosomal RNA", at positions 1 to 338 of the family's 1533-position model. Lineage: Bacteria; Bacillati; Bacillota; Clostridia; Eubacteriales; Heliobacteriaceae. The record is from RNAcentral.
UUUGUGGAGAGUUUGAUCCUGGCUCAGGACGAACGCUGGCGGCAUGCCUAACACAUGCAAGUCGAACGGAGAGCGGAAGUUUCGAUGGAAGCUCUUAGUGGCGGACGGGUGAGUAACGCGUGGAUAACCUGCCUGAGAGUGGGGGAUAACAGCCCGAAAGGGCUGCUAAUACCGCAUAACGUUGUCUGGGGACAUCCCCGGACAACCAAAGGAGCAAUCCGCUCUUGGAUGGGUCCGCGUCCGAUUAGCUAGUUGGUGAGGUAAUAGCUCACCAAGGCGACGAUCGGUAGCCGGCCUGAGAGGGUGAACGGCCACACUGGGACUGAGACACGGCCCAGACUC